AUAUUAAAUUAUUAUUAUAUUAUAGUAUAUUAUAUUAUAUAUUAUAUUAUAUAAAUAAGUAAAGAAACAUAAGAAACAGAAUGAAAGCAAACGAAACAGAGAAGAAACAGGGGAGAAAGAAAGAAAGAAAAAGAAAAAGGAAAAUUUGGGUUUCAAGGCUCAAAGUUUAAUUUGUCAAUGUGGUACCAGAAAUCUCGGCUAAGAAAGGACAAGACAAAGUCAACGGGAGUUAGCUCGAAAAUUACGGUUUGUAUUUCUAUAAUCCGAACCUAAUACUUAAUUGUUGAAUUUAUUUCUUAAUAUGUAUAUUAAGUGUUUUGAAGUAAGAAUUAUUGUGUUUUGCAAAUGAAAUGGAUUGAUAUAGUA
Gossypium arboreum is the source of this 366-nucleotide long non-coding RNA. RefSeq lists it as uncharacterized. The record is from RefSeq and is a predicted model, not a curated record. The transcript is spliced from 2 exons. NCBI's taxonomy places the organism in Eukaryota, Viridiplantae, Streptophyta, Magnoliopsida, Malvales, Malvaceae.